UCCGCCGUAGCUCAGCGGUAGAGCAGUCGGCUGUUAACCGAUUGGUCGUAGGUUCGAAUCCUACCGGCGGAG
This 72-nucleotide transfer RNA is filed under the name Candidatus Kaiserbacteria bacterium. Its description in RNAcentral is "tRNA-Asn". It matches the Rfam family "tRNA". From Rfam's summary of the family: Transfer RNA (tRNA) molecules are approximately 80 nucleotides in length. Their secondary structure includes four short double-helical elements and three loops (D, anti-codon, and T loops). RNAcentral also lists the same sequence under 2 other names. Lineage: Bacteria; Candidatus Kaiseribacteriota. The record is from RNAcentral.